CCUACGGGAGGCAGCAGUGAGGAAUAUUGGUCAAUGGACGCAAGUCUGAACCAGCCAAGCCGCGUGCAGGAAGACGGCUCUAUGAGUUGUAAACUGCUUUUGUACGAGGGUAAACGGAGACACGCGUAUCUGUCUGAAAGUACCGUACGAAUAAGGAUCGGCUAACUCCGUGCCAGCAGCCGCGGUAAUACGGAGGAUUCAAGCGUUAUCCGGAUUUAUUGGGUUUAAAGGGUGCGUAGGCGGUCGGAUAAGUUAGUGGUGAAAGCCCGAGGCUCAACUUCGGAAUUGCCUCUGAUACUGUUCGGCUAGAGUGUAGUUGCGGUAGGCGGCAUGUGUGGUGUAGCGGUGACAUGCUUAGAUAUCAUGCAGAACUCCGAUUGCGAAGGCAGCUUACCAAGCUACUUCUGACGUUGAGGCACGAAAGCGUGGGGAUCAAACAGGAUUAGAUACCCCAGUAGUC
RNAcentral lists this ribosomal RNA (460 nucleotides) under uncultured bacterium. RNAcentral's name for it is "partial 16S ribosomal RNA". It matches the Rfam family "Bacterial small subunit ribosomal RNA", at positions 338 to 795 of the family's 1533-position model. The record is from RNAcentral.